Molecule: long non-coding RNA, 303 nt
Filed under: Cricetulus griseus (Chinese hamster)
Lineage: Eukaryota; Metazoa; Chordata; Mammalia; Rodentia; Cricetidae
Description: lncRNA (ENSCGRG00000025952.1)
Source: RNAcentral
CAGAGACUCACCAGUGCUUGUGAGGAAGUUGACAUUUUUCAUCACACUUUCGGUUCUGGGCUCUGACUCAACAGUGACAAAGCAUGAAGGGAAAGGAAGCUGGACUGUAGACCAUCAACUGAGAAAGAAUACAUCAUCCUACAGUGCCCCCACCUGAUACCCGGUCUAUAAAAAAAAUGGUGAUGGUGAUGAUGAUGACGAUGAUGAUGAUGAUAAUUCUGAGAUAGAAAACAAGAAUGGAUACUGCUGCUUCUUGGUUUUAUGUCUUUAAAAGCAAAAUAAAAUGGCAUUAGUAAACUGGAA